Dipodomys ordii (Ord's kangaroo rat) is the source of this 70-nucleotide non-coding RNA. NCBI's taxonomy places the organism in Eukaryota, Metazoa, Chordata, Mammalia, Rodentia, Heteromyidae. The record is from Rfam.
GGGAAGAUGGCUCAGUGGUAGAGUGCUUGACUUACAUGCAUGAGGCCCUGGGUUCAAUUCCUCAGUACCA